RNAcentral lists this ribosomal RNA (433 nucleotides) under uncultured bacterium. Its description in RNAcentral is "partial 16S ribosomal RNA". It matches the Rfam family "Bacterial small subunit ribosomal RNA", at positions 29 to 507 of the family's 1533-position model. The record is from RNAcentral.
AACGAACGCUGGCGGCAUGCCUAACACAUGCAAGUCGAACGAGACCUUCGGGUCUAGUGGCGCACGGGUGCGUAACGCGUGGGAACCUGCCCUUAGGUUCGGAAUAACUCCCCGAAAGGGGUGCUAAUACCGGAUAAUGUCUUCGGACCAAAGAUUUGUCGCCUUUGGAUGGGCCCGCGUUGUAUUAGCUAGUUGGGAGGGUAAAAGCCUACCAAGGCGACGAUCCAUAGCUGGUCUGAGAGGAUGAUCAGCCACACUGGGACGGAGACACGGCCCAGACUACUACGGGAGGCAGCAGUGGGGAAUAUUGGACAAUGGGCGAAAGCCUGAUCCAGCAAUGCCGCGUGAGUGAUUAAGGCCUUAGGGUUGUAAAGCUCUUUUACCCGGGAUGAUAAUGACAGUACCGGGAGAAUAAGCUCCGGCUAACUCCGUG